CUUUGAAUAUAAAAAUGAAGUUUUGAUUGUUCAUUUAAAGGUGUAUUCGUGCAAAUAGUAUCACGAUUUCGAUAGGAUUCCAUAAGACAGGCCUGGUCGAAAUAUCGACCACUGGUUUGGUCGGGCGCUCGACUUAAAAAAAUGCAUCGAUAUUAUGCACAAAUUUUGUGUAAAAACGGUCGAUUUCAACGUGAAAAUACUCGUCCUUAAAAGGUUAAUAAUCUCACACGCCUCGAAGUUUUUAUAACACGGGAUCGCACAAAGCAUUCGACAGGAUGGAAGGAAAAUUUGUCCUCACCUCAUGUCGCGAGCAAAGUAAGUUUGGUGACUUUGCUGAGGACUCGUUAUGCGCUCGUUUGAAUGGAUUCAACCUACCGUCGAAAAAAGCAUCGAACCUCCUGAAUGGCGUUUACGUUGGAGGUCCGAGCGCCGUCGGGAAGAGCACAACGUUGAAUAAGAUACGCCAGAACUAUCCGUGGGCUCGCGUGUCGGAUAUAAGCUUCGAAACACUUCGCCGUCACCACGAUGACCCGGAAAUGGUGACAAAUUAUCUUCUCACGCGUCGUGACGCGCCUAUGAUUUAUGAGCACACCAAUGAAUGUACGAUUCUCUACAAGAUCGUAAAUCGCUUUAUGCAACGUGACUUGAACCGCGACAAUGUUCAAAAGUGUCAUCGCGAAUGCUACAACGCAUUGAACGAAGCCUCGAGCCACAUCAUGUUCAUCAUUCUUGACAGCACGAAAAACUUCAAGACACGCUACUACAAACGCCUUUGCAACGCUAGCAACACCAUCAAUCGGGACCACGACAAAUAUCUGAUUCUACAAUUGGCGGCAUUCCUCGCAUUACUUGGCAAACGACAUUUGUAUCCGUUCAUGAGCGUCGUGGUGAUACACGAAGCUGGACGUAUUUUAGGCGAGGAAGAUACUUACGGGCUCGAUACGCUAUUCGCAACUUAUCAUUCCGACAAUGAUUACGCUAUUGCAACGUUCGAUUGCGAUCGUUUGGUUGAAUUCAUAGUUGAUGCUCAUAUUUCCCAUGCAGAAGAUAUUCUCGAAUUGUCCUGAAAUUAAGUCCAACUCAAUCCACCUGAUUUUGUAAAGAGCAGUGGGAGUGGCUUCGCAUCGCACUCGCGUUAUAUCGGGCUUGCGCACAGUUCCCUUCCCCAUCUCUGCGCACCUGACCCAAGGUUGGAUUGGCCAACAUGCUUCCCCCACCGAGCGCAACCCGAUCGGUGUUCGGCGCAUUGUGGGAGAAACUUAUUCGGAGCUUACCAAUUAGAAUCACAGGAAACUGACCCCAUUGGGGACGUAGUUCGUGCACCGUUGCGGGGAUCGCUGCCGCGAAGCAAUUCUCGGGCGAAGUAAAAAAUUGAUUGCACAACCGCAUAGCCGUGAUCCGAACUUGCGCAUUAAUUGCUGGGCGGGGACAAGUAAUCACAGACUCUUGAAAAAUCUAGUUCUCUGCGCAGUCUCUUCAGGCGCUUGCGCUCGUGCAAUCGUGAAUCGGAAAAUACUGAUUGGCCAACACGAGGGAGAGGGGGUCUUGCAGAAACAGAAACAGUGAAGUGGGGGAAAAAGAGUUCGGAGUGAUUAGAAGGGUUCAUAAAACCUGCGUACGCGAAAACGUCGGGAAAAUGAAAAAUAAUCUAAUUUAUUUCUCACAUACUAUUCCCUUCUGCUUCAACUCCAUUUGAACGGUUUUUUCAGAGCAGAUUGGAAGCUACAAUCUCCGGUAAAAUCAAUGAAAAUUCAUAACUCGUGAAAUAUUAUUUAUCGUGAACCAGAUACUAGAACUACCAGGGAGUUCGUAAAUCCGAAGUUUAUGCGUGCAACUAUAUCGCUAAGCGCGACUAAUGCUACAGUGGCUCAAUGAGCUUAUGCUUUACACAUCAAAACACUGAACGGUUGAUAUAUAGUAGUGCAAUUAUUUCCAGUCAACGAAAUAUCGAGUCAUGCUUGCUAGCCUGAAGCAAAGUGUUGAAUUUUAAAAAGUAUUGCAGUGAAUGAAGAACGCGACGAAAAUCGAUGCCCCCUAAAGCAGGAUCUGUGCUACAAUUUGUGGGUAUAUUGGAAUCGAGUGGUACAUUUUCGCUACCUCAAAUCCAGCACCGGAGCUGACUCAACGGUGACACUGAUUCGCGAUAAAAUCCAAAAGAUUUCUGGGAUUUGUUUCCGUUCGUUUCUACCACCUGGCAGGACGUGCCAAGCCGAAGACAUGCCGAAUAUGAAAAAAAACGGUGAUGCUGAUGUUGCGACAAUCGAGCUCGAACCGAUAGCCGAAGAAGCUAACGCUGCUUCAGUGGCCUCUGUUGAAAAUGGAAAUACGGAUGAUACAUCGAACGAGGCCACAGAGUCUCCUGGCAAUGAGAAACCGUUAUUGUUGAGCCGUCGUAAAGCCAAGAUGAACCGCGUUUAUCGCCGCAGUCGGAGCCGCGGAUGCAGUCCAGCGCGUGUGACUUACCGCUCGAUACGAAACAAGAGUCCGAGUCGCUGCAUGCGCAAUAUGGCGGCGGUCGUUCAAACCGCUCUGACUGCGGAUGAUGCUGCUGCGAACUCUACGCAACCCCAUUCAUGUCCCAAUAACCGGAUAAAUUCCGGCACGAAUUCCACUCGACAUACCAAUCUUGAGGAGACGUCAGUCGUCGACAACGCUACGAAUGAAAACGGCGAUGGCGACGAUGCCAAAGAGAGAAACGAAAGGGAAGACCAGACAAAGUGUACUUGUCAUUGCAACGAGAACGUCGAAAGCACGAAAACAUCGAAAAAACGUCGCGUCACCGAAACGUUGUUCGGCGUAGCGAGCGGCGUGUGUCGUUUCGUUCGUUAUCCGCUGAUGGUUAGCACCAAUGCUGCGACUCUUUAUUUAGUCAUGAACUCUCUCGGCUUCAACGGGCUGGAAUACGCGUCGCGUGCUGUCUCAAUGCUUCAGCCGCUGGUUGGCCCACUGCUCUCGUCUAAUCACGUUGUCCAGGCGGUUACAAGUGUAGGCCAAAAUGUCGGUGGCUCGAUUCCCGCAGCACUGGCCUCAAGCCAAUACUUGGGUUCAGGAACGUUCAAAUAGAUACCGCAAUUGAUUAUUUUUUUUUUUUCACAAAUCGCAUCGAAAGAGUGUUAUGCCGUUGGUAAAGAGUACGAUGUAAAUAAUUCCCCUGCAAAGCUCCCAGUUAAUGGCACACGUAAUAUAGCAGAUGACAAUUUAGCGGAUUCAUCGAGAGAACUUUAUUUGUAAAAGCACGACCAUGCUACCAGUGAAGAAGGGUCAACGGCUUUACCUUCAAUCGCCGCCCCCGUACACUCCGUACGGAGGACCUGCGAGCGAAAAUCCUGGCGCCUGGUAUGCUGCAAGUUCAGCCCCGCAGAUAACUCCGAGCGUAGUUCCGGGCCCUCAAUAUCCGGGCAACCAAUACAUCGUGUAUUGUCAGCAUCCACCGGGUACCGCGUCCCCCUCGAAUUCAUCUGCAGUUGUACAUCAUUCGCCCCAGCAAUCUGCCGAGAAGGCAACGCCGAUAACAUCAACGAAUCAGCCGGAAGUCGAGCCAAGCAAGCUUCAAAAAGCGCUCAACAACGAUACUGCGAAGAAUGGCAAGAUUAACAAAUUGCCAGCCCUCUUCAAGGAGAAGAGGGACAAGAGAUCGAUCGAGGACACUGGCUCUUCCGGUAAAACCGAAUCUACACCGAAAUCAAACACGAGCGAAACUACAGUAAUAACUGUGCCCUCCAACACCGAGGGAACUGACAUCUAUCCGAUGAUUGAUAUCAAGGAGAUAGAAAAUAUCGUCGAAAAUGAUCCUGCAAUAGGCAAAGCUGAAAAGGGAGUUGUAAAGACGUUGGAAGCGGUCGCAGAUGUGCUGACAGCCGAUAUGGCUGAGGCGCCGAACGGAAGCGCCUGCAAAUAUAAAACUUUCAAGUGCAUCAGAUUCACUUUGAUCGGGCUGAAAUAUGUGGCGAUUUUAGCCGCCGCUUCAAGUAUAAUGUACGCGGCAAUACGUCCAUUGAUCGAGCCUGCAUCUGCUGACUCUGCCAAUAACGCGGGUGCCACUGAUCUCAUUCAUCAUUCGGCGGAAUUGUUGAUUUAAACGGGUGAUUAUUGAGGCGACAAUGCCAAGGAAAUAAAAAUCCCCGCGCAGUAUGAUUUUUUUUAA
RNAcentral lists this unclassified non-coding RNA (4144 nucleotides) under Venturia canescens. RNAcentral describes it as "uncharacterized LOC122408206, transcript variant X4". Lineage: Eukaryota; Metazoa; Arthropoda; Insecta; Hymenoptera; Ichneumonidae. The record is from RNAcentral.